RNAcentral lists this ribosomal RNA (467 nucleotides) under uncultured bacterium. Its description in RNAcentral is "partial 16S ribosomal RNA". It matches the Rfam family "Bacterial small subunit ribosomal RNA", at positions 29 to 507 of the family's 1533-position model. The record is from RNAcentral.
ACGAACGCUGGCGGCGUGCUUAACACAUGCAAGUCGAACGGAAAGGCCCUGCUUUUGUGGGGUGCUCGGGUGGCGAACGGGUGAGUAACACGUGAGUAACCUGCCCUUGACUUUGGUAUAACUUCAGGAAACUGGGGCUAAUACCGGAUAGGAGCUCCUGCUGCCUGGUGGGGGUUGGAAAGUUUCGGCGGUUGGGGAUGGACUCACGGCUUAUCAGCUUGUUGGUGGGGGAGUGGCUUACCAAGGCUUUGACGGGUAGCCGGCCUGAGAGGGUGACCGGCCACAUUGGGACUGAGAUACGGCCCAGACUCCUACGGGAGGCAGCAGUGGGGAAUAUUGCACAAUGGGCGGAAGCCUGAUGCAGCAACGCCGCGUGCGGGAUGACGGCCUUCGGGUUGUAAACCGCUUUCGCCUGUGACGAAGCGUGAGUGACGGUAAUGGGUAAAGAAGCACCGGCUAACUACGUG